CCUACGGGAGGCAGCAGUGGGGGAUAUUGCACAAUGGGGGGAACCCUGAUGCCGCGACGCCGCGUGGGUGAAGGAGUGCUUCGGCAUGUAAAGCCCUAUCGGCAGGGAAGAAGCAAGACGGUACCUUACUAAGAAGCCCCGGCUAACUACGUGCCAGCAUCCGCGGUACUACGUAGGGGGCGAGCGUUAUCCGGAUUGACUGGGUGUAAAGGGAGCGUAGACGGCCAUGCAAGCCAGGGGUGAAAGCCCGGGGCCCAACCCCGGGACUGCAUUUGAAACCGCAUGGCUGGAGUGCGGGAGGGGCAGGCGGAAUGCGUGGUGUAGCGGUGAAAUGCGUAGAUAGCAGGAGGAACACCGGCGGCGAAGGCGGCCUGCUGGACCGCGACUGACGUUGAGGCUCGAAAGCGUGGGGAGCGAACAGGAUUAGAUACCCUUGUAGUC
This 441-nucleotide ribosomal RNA is filed under the name uncultured bacterium. RNAcentral describes it as "partial 16S ribosomal RNA". It matches the Rfam family "Bacterial small subunit ribosomal RNA", at positions 338 to 795 of the family's 1533-position model. The record is from RNAcentral.